UAAAUAACAAAAUAACAGGGGAGCAAUGA
Molecule: non-coding RNA, 29 nt
Filed under: Mus musculus (house mouse)
Lineage: Eukaryota; Metazoa; Chordata; Mammalia; Rodentia; Muridae
Source: RNAcentral